RNAcentral lists this ribosomal RNA (253 nucleotides) under uncultured bacterium. RNAcentral's name for it is "partial 16S ribosomal RNA". It matches the Rfam family "Bacterial small subunit ribosomal RNA", at positions 524 to 776 of the family's 1533-position model. The record is from RNAcentral.
UCCGUAGGGGGCAAGCGUUGUCCGGAAUCAUUGGGCGUAAAGCACGUGUAGGCGGCUCGGUAAGUCCGCUCUGAAAGUCCAGGGCUCAACCCUGGGAUGCGGGUGGAUACUGCCGGGCUCGAGUCCGGAAGAGGCGAGUGGAAUUCCCGGUGUAGCGGUGAAAUGCGCAGAUAUCGGGAGGAACACCAAUGGCGAAGGCAGCUCGCUGGGACGUGACUGACGCUGAGACGCGAAAGCGUGGGGAGCGAACCGG